Molecule: ribosomal RNA, 905 nt
Filed under: uncultured bacterium
Lineage: Bacteria
Description: bacterial SSU rRNA
Rfam family: Bacterial small subunit ribosomal RNA
Source: RNAcentral
AGAGUUUGAUCCUGGCUCAGGAUAAACGCUGGCGGCGUGCCUAACACAUGCAAGUCGAACGUUCUGCUGCUUUUUCGGAAGCGGCAGGAAGUGGCGGACGGGUGAGUAACACAUGGGUACCUGGCCUCAAGUGAGGGAUACCGGCGAGAAAUCGCCGACAAACCCGCAUGGGCUCGCGCGGGUAACAGCGCGCGAGCAAAGCCUGCUUUAGUGGGCGCUUGAGGAUGGGCCUGUGGCCGAUUAGCUGGUUGGUGGGGUAAGGGCUCACCAAGGCUGCGAUCGGUAGCUGGUCUGAGAGGACGAGCAGCCACACUGGGACUGAGAAACGGCCCAGACUCCUACGGGAGGCAGCAGUGAGGAAUUUUCCGCAAUGGGCGAAAGCCUGAUGCAGCGACGCCGCGUGAGGGAUGACGGCCUUCGGGUUGUAAACCUCUUUCAGCAGGGAAGGAGCGAAAGUGACGGUACCUGCAGAAGAAGCACCGGCUAACUACGUGCCAGCAGCCGCGGUAAUACGUAGGGUGCGAGCGUUGUCCGGAAUUAUUGGGCGUAAAGAGCUUGUAGGCGGUUUGUCGCGUCUGCUGUGAAAUUUCGGGGCUCAACCCCGAACUUGCAGUGGGUACGGGCAGACUAGAGUGUGGUAGGGGAGACUGGAAUUCCUGGUGUAGCGGUGAAAUGCGCAGAUAUCAGGAGGAACACCGAUGGCGAAGGCAGGUCUCUGGGCCACUACUGACGCUGAGAAGCGAAAGCAUGGGGAGCGAACAGGAUUAGAUACCCUGGUAGUCCAUGCCGUAAACGUUGGGAACUAGGUGUGGGUCUCAUUCCACGAGAUCCGUGCCGCAGCUAACGCAUUAAGUUCCCCGCCUGGGGAGUACGGCCGCAAGGCUAAAACUCAAAGGAAUUGACGG